GGAUGUGAGGGUGAUCUGGCUAUGACAUCUGUCUCCCUAUUGAUCACCAGCAUUGAUGAAGCUUCUCUGGAUGGCUAGACAGAUGUCCCCUUCCUCCUUCUCCACUCCAUGUGUCCCUCCUGAAGCUGUGUGUUCUGUCAAAGGGGGCAGCCACCUCUGCUAGAAUCUCCAAACAAGCUCUCAG
RNAcentral lists this small nuclear RNA (184 nucleotides) under Fukomys damarensis (Damara mole-rat). RNAcentral describes it as "7SK RNA". It matches the Rfam family "7SK RNA", at positions 1 to 189 of the family's 331-position model. Rfam says of the family: 7SK was discovered as an abundant small nuclear RNA in the mid-70s but a possible function has only recently been suggested. Lineage: Eukaryota; Metazoa; Chordata; Mammalia; Rodentia; Bathyergidae. The record is from Rfam by way of RNAcentral.